This 22-nucleotide microRNA is filed under the name Drosophila virilis. Its description in RNAcentral is "dvi-miR-975-5p". Its record names the gene dvi-miR-975-5p. The record is from miRBase by way of RNAcentral. Lineage: Eukaryota; Metazoa; Arthropoda; Insecta; Diptera; Drosophilidae.
UUAGAUACUCCCUAUAUCCAGU